RNAcentral lists this ribosomal RNA (490 nucleotides) under uncultured bacterium. RNAcentral describes it as "partial 16S ribosomal RNA". It matches the Rfam family "Bacterial small subunit ribosomal RNA", at positions 28 to 507 of the family's 1533-position model. The record is from RNAcentral.
GAUGAACGCUAGCUACAGGCUUAACACAUGCAAGUCGCGGGGCAGCAUGGGGGUUGCUUGCAAUCCCCGAUGGCGACCGGCGCACGGGUGAGUAACGCGUAUCCAACCUGCCCUUCACCACGGGAUAACCCGGCGAAAGUCGGACUAAUACCGUAUGUUGUCCAUUGACGGCAUCCGAUUUGGACGAAAGGCUUGGCGGUGAGGGAUGGGGAUGCGUCCGAUUAGCCAGACGGCGGGGUAACGGCCCACCGUGGCUACGAUCGGUAGGGGUUCUGAGAGGAAGGUCCCCCACACUGGAACUGAGACACGGUCCAGACUCCUACGGGAGGCAGCAGUGAGGAAUAUUGGUCAAUGGGCGUAAGCCUGAACCAGCCAAGUAGCGUGCAGGAUGACGGCCCUAUGGGUUGUAAACUGCCUUUAUGCGGGGAUAAAGUGGCCCACGUGUGGGCUUUUGCAGGUACCGCAUGAAUAAGGACCGGCUAAUUCCGUG